CAAAUGAAUUGACGGGGACCCGCACAAGCAGCGGAGCGUGUGGUUUAAUUCGUUGCUACACGAAGAACCUUACCUGGGUUUGACAUAUAGGUUGUAGGGAACUGAAAAGGGACCGACCCUUCGGGGAGCCUAUACAGGUGUUGCAUGGCUGUCGUCAGCUCGUGUCGUGAGAUGUUCGGUUAAGUCCGCUAACGAGCGCAACCCUCGUCGUAUGUUAUAUGUGUCAUACGAGACUGCCGGUAAAAGCCGGAGGAAGGUGAGGAUGAUGUCAAGUCAGCAUGACCUUUAUAUCCAGGGCUACACACACGCUACAAUGGUCUGUACAAUGGGUAGCCAAGCCGCGAGGCGGAGCCAAUCCUGAAAGCAGGCCUCAGUUCAGAUUGCAGUCUGCAACUCGACUGCAUGAAGCCGGAGUUGCUAGUAACCGCAGGUCAGCAAUACUGCGGUGAAUACGUUCCCGGGUCUU
Molecule: ribosomal RNA, 466 nt
Filed under: uncultured Anaerolineaceae bacterium
Lineage: Bacteria; Bacillati; Chloroflexota; Anaerolineae; Anaerolineales; Anaerolineaceae
Description: bacterial SSU rRNA
Rfam family: Bacterial small subunit ribosomal RNA
Source: RNAcentral